RNAcentral lists this microRNA precursor (124 nucleotides) under Marmota monax (woodchuck). Lineage: Eukaryota; Metazoa; Chordata; Mammalia; Rodentia; Sciuridae. The record is from RNAcentral.
AAUGACCAUAUAGCUUCUUGCUCAUUCACAUGUGUAUGUGUGUGUGUGUAUAUAUAUAUAUAUAUAUAUAUAUAUAUAUAUACACACACACACAUACACAUGUGAAUGAGCAAGAAGCUAUAUG